This 699-nucleotide ribosomal RNA is filed under the name Triticum aestivum (bread wheat). RNAcentral describes it as "partial small subunit ribosomal RNA". The record is from RNAcentral. Lineage: Eukaryota; Viridiplantae; Streptophyta; Magnoliopsida; Poales; Poaceae.
AUGGCAUGGCCACUGCUCCAGCUCCAGCUCCUGCUCAUCGCCGCUGCCGCCACCACUGCGGCGGCGGCGUCCUCAGCGACGACGCCCGAUGGGCCAGCGCCGUGGCCGGAGCAGUUCCACGCGGUGCUGUUCACGAACCUGACCAACGUCUCGAUCGCAUCGACGAGCCCGGCGCUCCGCCUGCACGACCUCUACUACGACUGGCCGCGGCGGCGCAACCUGAACCUGAUCCGGUACCAGCUGUCCGGCGACCCGCUCUACGACGUGGAGUGGAACAACGGCACCAGCUUCUACUUCGACUCGGCCACCUGCCGCACGCUGCAGUUCCCCGUCGGCGUGCACCGCCCUGGGUGGAUCGCCGAGGGCGGCGCCGUCUACCUCGGCCGCGAGACCACCGGCGGGAUCGACUGCCACGUCUGGGGCAAGGCUGACUUCAUCGUCUACUACGAGGACGCGCUCACGCGCCGCCCCGUCCGCUGGAACUUCAUUGAUGUGACGGGGAUAGAGCAGUUUGUGAUGAGCUUCGAGGUGGGCGUGGUGCUGGAAGACGACGACCAGUGGCAGGCACCCGCGCACUGCUUCCUGGACGACGCAGCCAACAAGACCAACGAGCACGACGAUCAUGUCGCUGUUUCGAAUGGCGUCAUGGACGCGGUCAGGCUAUUCAGGAAGUUUGCUGGAGCUGCCGCCGCCUACUGA